This 1429-nucleotide unclassified non-coding RNA is filed under the name uncultured Neocallimastigales. RNAcentral's name for it is "partial contains small subunit ribosomal RNA, internal transcribed spacer 1, 5.8S ribosomal RNA, internal transcribed spacer 2, and large subunit ribosomal RNA". The stretch from base 654 to 1429 matches the Rfam family "Eukaryotic large subunit ribosomal RNA", at positions 1 to 628 of the family's 3401-position model. The record is from RNAcentral. Lineage: Eukaryota; Fungi; Neocallimastigomycota; Neocallimastigomycetes; Neocallimastigales.
UUUCCGUAGGUGAACCUGCGGAAGGAUCAUUAAAAAUUGGACUCCAUUGGUGAGUUCAUUAAUAAUCCUACCCUUUGUGAAUUUGUUUGUUUGAAUAAUUUUUUUUCCAAAAAAAAUUAUUGAAUGUCUUUCCCUGUUUUGGUGGAGCUUGUAAAGUGAAACCAGGCAGGGGAAUGGCAAACAAUAAUUAUUUUUGAAAAAGACCUUUUUUAAAAUUAAACUUUUUGUAUUCAUUUGUCUAAAAUUAUUUUUAUAAUAUAAAAACAACUUUUGACAAUGGAUCUCUUGGUUCUCGCAACGAUGAAGAACGCAGCAAAAUGCGAUAAGUAGUGUGAAUUGCAGAAUACGUGAAUCAUCGAAUCUUCGAACGCAUAUUGCACUUUUUUAGUUUACUAAAAAGUAUGUCUGUUUGAGUAUCAGUAAAAUAUUCUCAUAAAAAAUUUAUUUUUUAUGGUUAUGAGUGUUUUACAACGAUAACAAGUUGUUUCACUUUAAAUUCUUUGUUAUCAAAAAAAUCAUUAAAAGCUAAUUUAAAGAUUUUUUAAAAUUGGAUAAAAUUUUCCCGUAAAAAGGAAUAACCUAAACAAUUUUAAAAAAUUAAAAUCGGUUUGAUUUUUCUUGAUUUAAAAAGGAAAAAAAAGUAAAAAUUAACUUGAUCUCAAAUCAGAUAAGAGUACCCGCUGAACUUAAGCAUAUCAAUAAGCGGAGGAAAAGAAACUAACUAGGAUUCCCUCAGUAACGGCGAGUGAAGCGGGAAGAGCUCAAAUUUGAAAUCUUCAAGGUUUUACCUUGACGAAUUGUAGUUUAAAGAAGUGUUUUCUGUUGGAGUUUUGGUAAAAGUUCUUUGGAAAAGGACAUCAUAGAGGGCGAGAAUCCCGUAUUUGACCAUUAUCUCCAGCUUUGUGAUACACUUUCAAAGAGUCGGAUUGUUUGGGAAUGCAGUCCAAAAUGGGUGGUAAAUUUCAUCUAAAGCUAAAUACUGGCGAGAGACGAUAGCGAACAAGUACCGUGAGGGAAAGAUGAAAAGAACUUUGAAAAGAGAGUUAAACAGUACGUGAAAUUGUCAAAAGGGAAGCGUUUGACACCAGUGUUGUUUUCUCGAAAAUCAAUUAAAAAAGGCCGGAUUUUGUGUUGUAUUGACUUUAUCAGCUUUCUGCACUUUUUUCUUGUCUUUUUUAAUGCACUUUUCGUUUAACAAGUCAACAUCAAUUUCUUUUGUUGUAAAAGGGUCAUUGGAAGGUGGCUUUCUUUUCGGAGAAAGUGUUUAUAGCCUUUGGCCUCUGCAAUCGGAGAGAUUGAGGUCUGCAGCGUAGAUCCUUCGGGUUAGAUACAUUUGUGCUAAGUUAUAGCCUUUCAUAGACAACUUGUUGACUAUGAUCAGUCAUGUAGCUUACUCGCUUAUGCUAUUUUACCUACGCUUAGGAUGUUG